UCAUACGGGAGGCAGCAGUGGGGAAUAUUGCACAAUGGGGGAAACCCUGAUGCAGCCAUGCCGCGUGUGUGAAGAAGGCCUUCGGGUUGUAAAGCACUUUCAGUUGUGAGGAAAAGUUAGUAGUUAAUACCUGCUAGCCGUGACGUUAACAACAGAAGAAGCACCGGCUAACUCCGUGCCAGCAGCCGCGGUAAUACGGAGGGGGCGAGCGUUAAUCGGAAUUACUGGGCGUAAAGCGCACCCAGGGGGUUUGUUAAGCUAGAUGUGAAAGCCCCGGGCUCAACCUGGGAUGGUCAUUUAGAACUGGCAGACUAGAGUCUUGGAGAGGGGAGUGGAAUUCCAGGUGUAGCGGUGAAAUGCGUAAAUAUCUGGAGGAACAUCAGUGGGGAAGGCGACUCCCUGGCCAAAGACUGACGCUCAUGUUCAAAAGUGUGGGUAGCGCACAGGAUAAGAUACCCUGGUAAGCCACACCCAAAAACCUGCCCACUACCUGGGUGGGUCUUAAAACGGGCGCAGCGAACC
Molecule: ribosomal RNA, 522 nt
Filed under: bacterium A4S_VP6_G5
Lineage: Bacteria
Description: bacterial SSU rRNA
Rfam family: Bacterial small subunit ribosomal RNA
Source: RNAcentral